Molecule: small nucleolar RNA, 73 nt
Organism: Anser brachyrhynchus (Pink-footed goose)
Lineage: Eukaryota; Metazoa; Chordata; Aves; Anseriformes; Anatidae
Source: Ensembl
CUUCUAAUGAUGAUACUUCUGUCCAGUUCUGCUGCUGAAGGAAGGGCGAUGACACUUCGUGAUGCUGAGGAAG